This 495-nucleotide long non-coding RNA is filed under the name Cavia porcellus (domestic guinea pig). RNAcentral describes it as "lncRNA (ENSCPOG00000039773.1)". Lineage: Eukaryota; Metazoa; Chordata; Mammalia; Rodentia; Caviidae. The record is from RNAcentral.
AUUUUUUUUUGUCUUUUGAAACAGGGUCUCUAUGCAGUUCAGGCUGGCCUUGAACUCACUUUGUAGCCCAGGCUGGUCUCGAACUUGCAACGAUCCUCCUGCCUCAGCCUCCAAGUGCUGCGAUUACAGGCGUGAGCCACCACACCCGAUCACUUAUGUGAUUUUUAUAUGCAAAUUUACUGACAGUUUUGACUUCCAUCAAUCAAGAUGUCAGAAAGCAAAGACCUUCUGAAAAUCUUGGGCAAAUACUAUCUGGAGAAUGGAUAAUAUCAUCUCCUUAUAAGAUGGUGUGAGUGUGACCUUUGUGGUGUAGGGAACUCUACAGGAUGUUGAAUACUGCAGAAAACCGACCAUACUGCUGGCCCUUAGAGAAGAACUUGAAAAUGCAUGUGCAGUAAUCUCAGUGACCAAGGUUACCUGAGCAGCAGUUCGUCAUGCUGGUAAAUGUCUGGAGACUCAUGGCCAUCACUUUGAGCAUGUCUUGGAAGUGCAGAA